CGGGGUGAGUAACACGUGGAUAAUCUGCCCUGCACAGGGGGACAACAGCUAGAAAUGGCUGCUAAUACCGCAUAAGCCUACAGCCUCGCAUGAGGGAGUAGGAAAAGAAAUUCGGUGCAGGAUGAGUCCGCGUCUGAUUAGCUAGUUGGAGGGGUAAAAGCCCACCAAGGCAACGAUCAGUAGCCGGCCUGAGAGGGCGACCGGCCACAUUGGGACUGAGACACGGCCCAAACUCCUACGGGAGGCAGCAG
RNAcentral lists this ribosomal RNA (251 nucleotides) under uncultured bacterium. RNAcentral describes it as "partial 16S ribosomal RNA". It matches the Rfam family "Bacterial small subunit ribosomal RNA", at positions 100 to 354 of the family's 1533-position model. The record is from RNAcentral.